CCCCUAGAUGUUCUGGGCCGCACGCGCGCUACACUGAACAGUUCAACAAGUCUUAACCUUGGCCGAUAGGUCUGGGUAAUCUUUGAACGCUGUUCGUGAUUGGGAUAGACCUUUGCAAUUAUGGGUCUUCAUCGAGGAAUUCCUAGUAAACGCAAGUCAUCAGCUUGCAUUGAUUACGUCCCUGCCCUUUGUACACACCGCCCGUCGCACCUACCGAUUGAAUGGUCCGGUGAAAUCUCGGGACGGCGGCUUGGUCGCUUGCGUCCGACUGCUGAAACUUGAUUAAACCAUAUCAUUUAGAGGAAGGUGAAGUCGUAACA
RNAcentral lists this ribosomal RNA (320 nucleotides) under uncultured eukaryote. RNAcentral's name for it is "partial 18S ribosomal RNA". It matches the Rfam family "Eukaryotic small subunit ribosomal RNA", at positions 1470 to 1796 of the family's 1831-position model. The record is from RNAcentral.